Molecule: long non-coding RNA, 209 nt
Organism: Strongylocentrotus purpuratus (purple sea urchin)
Lineage: Eukaryota; Metazoa; Echinodermata; Echinoidea; Camarodonta; Strongylocentrotidae
Exons: 3
Source: RefSeq, a predicted model, not a curated record
GCAGAAGUAAAGAGACGACUGGAAGAAGAAGAACGGCAAAGAGAAGAGCAGGAAGCUGAAGAUCGCCGCCAAGAAGCCAUUAGGAGGAGAAAGCGAUUGGAACAGAUGAGGCGCAACGAAGAUGGGGAAGAGAUUGCUGGCACGAUACCUGGUAACCAGGGACAACCGGACCUUGGGAUGCCCUCCGAUGCGGAAUUAACAGCGGAGGA